RNAcentral lists this ribosomal RNA (497 nucleotides) under uncultured bacterium. RNAcentral's name for it is "partial 16S ribosomal RNA". It matches the Rfam family "Bacterial small subunit ribosomal RNA", at positions 28 to 507 of the family's 1533-position model. The record is from RNAcentral.
GAUGAACGCUGGCGGCGUGCCUAAUACAUGCAAGUAGAACGCUGAAGGAAGGAGCUUGCUCUUUCCGGAUGAGUUGCGAACGGGUGAGUAACGCGUAGGUAACCUGCCUGUUAGCGGGGGAUAACUUUGGGAAACGGUAGCUAAUACCGCAUAAUAUUUUAUGUUGCAUGGUUCCAACUUAAAAGAUGCACUUGCUCUCCACCCUGAUGGACUUGCGUUGUAUUAGCUAGUUGGUGAGGUAACGGCUCACCAAGGCGACGAUACAUACCCAACCUGAGAGGGUGAUCGGCCAAAAUGGGACUGGGAAACGGGCCAGAACCCUACGGGAGGCAGCAGUAGGGAAUCUUCGGCAAUGGACGGAAGUCUGACCGAGCAACGCCGCGUGAGUGAAGAAGGGUUUCGGAUCGUAAAGCUCUGUUGUAAGAGAAGAACGAGAGUGAGAGUGGAAAGUGCACACUGUGACGGUAUCUUACCAGAAAGGGACGGCUAACUACGUG